GACGAACGCUGGCGGCGUGCCUAAUACAUGCAAGUAGAACGCUGAAGGAGGAGCUUGCUUCUCUGGAUGAGUUGCGAACGGGUGAGUAACGCGUAGGUAACCUGCCUGGUAGCGGGGGAUAACUAUUGGAAACGAUAGCUAAUACCGCAUAAGAGUAGAUGUUGCAUGACAUUUGCUUAAAAGGUGCAAUUGCAUCACUACCAGAUGGACCUGCGUUGUAUUAGCUAGUUGGUGAGGUAACGGCUCACCAAGGCAACGAUACAGAGCCGACCUGAGAGGGUGAUCGGCCACACUGGGACUGGGACACGGCCCAGACUCCUUCGGGAGGCAGCAGUAGGGAAUCUUCGGCAAUGGACGGAAGGCUGACCGAGCAACGCCGCGUGAGUGAAGAAGGUUUUCGGAUCGUAAAGCUCUGUUGUAAGAGAAGAACGAGUGUGAGAGUGGAAAGUUCACACUGUGACGGUAGCUUAACAGAAAGGGACGGCUAACUACGUG
Molecule: ribosomal RNA, 495 nt
Filed under: uncultured bacterium
Lineage: Bacteria
Description: partial 16S ribosomal RNA
Rfam family: Bacterial small subunit ribosomal RNA
Source: RNAcentral